UCACACUAGGCCAAAAACAGUCUCAAUCGCUUCUUCAGUCUUAUUAUUAUUUUCUUUUUUGUUAAUAAAACUUGAAAAAGGAGAAGGUAGAGAAAAGGAGAACAAGUGCCAUACUCAAAUGAAGAAGCAGAAUAUGUUCUUUUGAUAUAAAUAUAAAGAUUGUAUCAAAUUUCUAUGGAGAAGAGAGAGGAGCAAAUGAUAAAGACUGAGAUUUCCAUGGCAAAUUCCACAUUCAUCACAGAGGAGAUACCCAGUAGUUUUGCUUUAUCAUCCUCAACUCCAACAUCAGCAAGCAUCUUUGACAUGAUGCCAUGUGAUAUUGGUGAUAAAGCCUCUUUAGGCUUCACGGACCUGCUUGAUGGCAACCAAGAUUUUGGCACUUGUUUGUUCGAUUGGUUUCAGCCUCCGAUUGUUCCUCACCAACCCUUGCCUUCUCCGGCGUCCACUGUUCCCGAAUCAUCCGAGGUCUUGAACACUCCGGCCACUCCUAACUCCUCCUCCAUCUCUUCAUCCUCGAAUGAAGCAGGAAAUGAGGCGCAAGCUAAAGCUGGAGAUGAAGAAGAGCAGGAUCAAGAAAAGAACAAGAAACAGUUGAAACCCAAAAAGAAGAACCAGAAAAGGCAAAGAGAGCCAAGAUUUGCUUUCAUGACAAAAAGCGAAGUUGAUCACCUAGAUGAUGGAUAUAGAUGGAGGAAGUACGGCCAGAAAGCAGUGAAAAACAGCCCUUAUCCGAGGAGCUAUUAUCGUUGCACUAGUGCAGGAUGUGGGGUGAAGAAGAGAGUAGAGAGAUCAUCUGAGGAUCCCACCAUAGUUGUUACAACUUAUGAAGGACAACACACGCAUCCAAGUCCCAUAACCCCCAGGGGAAGUAUCGGACUUCUGCCAGAUUCAGGUGGUUUCGGUGCUGCAACUUCUUUUGUUGUUCCACAACCUCAGUACCAGCAACAGCAACAUGCCUGUAUGUAUAGCUCAUCGCCUUCACUGAACAUUAGCACUAGUAGUCGUAGUUUUAAUCCCUCAUUUUCUCCAAGUUUUCUGCAAGAGAGACGGUUUGGUCCUUCAUCAGCUUCUUUGUUCAGAGACCAUGGGCUUCUUCAGGACAUCGUGCCCACCCAGAUGAGAAAGGAAACUACAGAGGAGUAGAAGGAUUUGCAUGUUAGUUUACUGGUAUGUGAUUCUCUAACUGACAUAUGGGGUUCUGUAACUUGAGAAAUGCCGCUAUGUCAAUCACCCAAUAUUAAUUUCAAUGACACAGAACCUUAUCUUUGGAAAAUGAUGAUGAUGAUGAC
RNAcentral lists this unclassified non-coding RNA (1289 nucleotides) under Hevea brasiliensis (rubber tree). Lineage: Eukaryota; Viridiplantae; Streptophyta; Magnoliopsida; Malpighiales; Euphorbiaceae. The record is from RNAcentral.